Molecule: ribosomal RNA, 468 nt
Filed under: uncultured bacterium
Lineage: Bacteria
Description: partial 16S ribosomal RNA
Rfam family: Bacterial small subunit ribosomal RNA
Source: RNAcentral
GACGAACGCUGGCGGCGUGCUUAACACAUGCAAGUCGAACGGAAAGGCCCUGCUUUUGUGGGGUGCUCGAGUGGCGAACGGGUGAGUAACACGUGAGUAACCUGCCCUUGACUUUGGGAUAACUUCAGGAAACUGGGGCUAAUACCGGAUAGGAGCUCCUGCUGCAUGGUGGGGGUUGGAAAGUUUCGGCGGUUGGGGAUGGACUCGCGGCUUAUCAGCUUGUUGGUGGGGUAGUGGCUUACCAAGGCUUUGACGGCUAGGCGGCCUGAGAGGGUGACCGGCGACAAUAGGACUGAGAUACGGCGCAGACUGCAACGGGAGGCAGAAGUGGGGAAUAUUGCACAAUGGGCGGAAGCCUGAUGCAGCAACGCCGCGUGCGGGAUGACGGCCUUCGGGUUGUAAACCGCUUUCGACUGUGACGAAGCGUGAGUGACGGUAAUGGGUAAAGAAGCACCGGCUAACUACGUG